This 1806-nucleotide ribosomal RNA is filed under the name Campylobacter jejuni. Its description in RNAcentral is "partial 23S ribosomal RNA". It matches the Rfam family "Bacterial large subunit ribosomal RNA", at positions 1 to 1811 of the family's 2925-position model. Lineage: Bacteria; Pseudomonadati; Campylobacterota; Epsilonproteobacteria; Campylobacterales; Campylobacteraceae. The record is from RNAcentral.
AGGUAAGCUACUAAGAGCGAAUGGUGGAUGCCUUGACUGGUAAAGGCGAUGAAGGACGUACUAGACUGCGAUAAGCUACGGGGAGCUGUCAAGAAGCUUUGAUCCGUAGAUUUCCGAAUGGGGCAACCCAAUGUAUAGAGAUAUACAUUACCUAUAUAGGAGCGAACGAGGGGAAUUGAAACAUCUUAGUACCCUCAGGAAAAGAAAUCAAUAGAGAUUGCGUCAGUAGCGGCGAGCGAAAGCGCAAGAGGGCAAACCCAGUGCUUGCACUGGGGGUUGUAGGACUGCAAUGUGCAAGAGGUAAGUUUAGCAGAACAUUCUGGAAAGUAUAACCAUAGAGGGUGAUAGUCCCGUAUGCGAAAAACAAACCUUAGCUAGCAGUAUCCUGAGUAGGGCGGGACACGAGGAAUCCUGUCUGAAUCCGGGUCGACCACGAUCCAACCCUAAAUACUAAUACCAGAUCGAUAGUGCACAAGUACCGUGAGGGAAAGGUGAAAAGAACUGAGGUGAUCAGAGUGAAAUAGAACCUGAAACCAUUUGCUUACAAUCAUUCAGAGCCCUAUGUAGCAAUACAGGGUGAUGGACUGCCUUUUGCAUAAUGAGCCUGCGAGUUGUGGUGUCUGGCAAGGUUAAGCAAACGCGAAGCCGUAGCGAAAGCGAGUCUGAAUAGGGCGCUUAGUCAGAUGCUGCAGACCCGAAACGAAGUGAUCUAUCCAUGAGCAAGUUGAAGCUAGUGUAAGAACUAGUGGAGGACUGAACCCAUAGGCGUUGAAAAGCCCCGGGAUGACUUGUGGAUAGGGGUGAAAGGCCAAUCAAACUUCGUGAUAGCUGGUUCUCUCCGAAAUAUAUUUAGGUAUAGCGUUGUGUCGUAAUAUAAGGGGGUAGAGCACUGAAUGGGCUAGGGCAUACACCAAUGUACCAAACCCUAUCAAACUCCGAAUACCUUAUAUGUAAUCACAGCAGUCAGGCGGCGAGUGAUAAAAUCCGUCGUCAAGAGGGAAACAACCCAGACUACCAGCUAAGGUCCCUAAAUCUUACUUAAGUGGAAAACGAUGUGAAGUUACUUAAACAACCAGGAGGUUGGCUUAGAAGCAGCCAUCCUUUAAAGAAAGCGUAAUAGCUCACUGGUCUAGUGAUUUUGCGCGGAAAAUAUAACGGGGCUAAAGUAAGUACCGAAGCUGUAGACUUAGUUUACUAAGUGGUAGGAGAGCGUUCUAUUUGCGUCGAAGGUAUACCGGUAAGGAGUGCUGGAGCGAAUAGAAGUGAGCAUGCAGGCAUGAGUAGCGAUAAUUAAUGUGAGAAUCAUUAACGCCGUAAACCCAAGGUUUCCUACGCGAUGCUCGUCAUCGUAGGGUUAGUCGGGUCCUAAGUCGAGUCCGAAAGGGGUAGACGAUGGCAAAUUGGUUAAUAUUCCAAUACCAACAUUAGUGUGCGAUGGAAGGACGCUUAGGGCUAAGGGGGCUAGCGGAUGGAAGUGCUAGUCUAAGGUCGUAGGAGGUUAUACAGGCAAAUCCGUAUAACAAUACUCCGAGAACUGAAAGGCUUUUUGAAGUCUUCGGAUGGAUAGAAGAACCCCUGAUGCCGUCGAGCCAAGAAAAGUUUCUAAGUUUAGCUAAUGUUGCCCGUACCGUAAACCGACACAGGUGGGUGGGAUGAGUAUUCUAAGGCGCGUGGAAGAACUCUCUUUAAGGAACUCUGCAAAAUAGCACCGUAUCUUCGGUAUAAGGUGUGGUUAGCUUUGUAUUAGGAUUUACUCCGAAAGCAAGGAAACUUACAACAAAGAGUCCCUCCCGACUGUUUACCAAA